Alnus glutinosa is the source of this 6594-nucleotide long non-coding RNA. RefSeq lists it as uncharacterized. The transcript is spliced from 4 exons. The record is from RefSeq and is a predicted model, not a curated record. Lineage: Eukaryota; Viridiplantae; Streptophyta; Magnoliopsida; Fagales; Betulaceae.
AAAUUGUUUGCCUGGUGUGCGCCACAGUUGACUGGAGCUCAAUGGAAUGUUGAGUGCCCAAUUCGCGAAUUUGCUUGGAUCGCGAUGAUGGUCAUGUCCUGUGGCAUCGCUAGUGGUGUGGAUCAUCCGAGGUUGGACUCGAUCAGACAACUAGUGGUGGUUGUACCAUUGUACCUUACUGAGGCAUCGGUGUUGUACCAUAUAUCUUACGGGACACGCAAACCUUACCGUAAGAGGUUUAUGGGUACGGAUUGUACUAUAUUUAAUGUUAAAACGGCAAUAUGUUGUCCUUGGAAUUAUGCCUUAACUACUUUCUAAAUGUACUAUUUUUCCUUACGGGCAUAAUUAGCGAGAUAACAAAUUAUUCAAACCUCAUAAUGUUUCUAAAAUGUCCGCCUUUAUACUUCCAACUAAACUAGGCUCAUUGCACGUGCUAAGUUUCGUUAACGAUUUAUUUACCAAGCCGUAAACUUAUGUAGUUACUUUUUCACAUGUAAAACAUUUUUGUUUUACAGAUUAGUAGGUUAGCUUCAGGGGUGCAGUUUAGAGCUAUUCGCAACGCUUGAGAUGCUAGGCGAAGGCUUGUAGUGUACUUCAUCUAUUUUGUAUUUUGGAGGCUCUAGUUUGUAUCAAUGAUAGAAAAAUAUACUAAUGUAUAUAGUCUUUCAGUUCAGAUUAAUAGUUCACUUUCCACUGAUUUUAUACUAAUAUUUGUUGUUACAGGUAGCACUUUGAGUUAAUUACCAAUUAAUCAAAUUGGGGGUUCUACAAGUAACAUUUCGAGUUAAUUACUGUUAAAUCCUAAUGGAGGGGUGAUAUUGCAAAAAAUUUGAAGUUUGAUAGACUAAAUUGAGAGUUUUUGAGCUUUGGAGGGGAGAUUGCAAAAGUGAUGAAAGUUCAGGGUUAAGUGAAGUUCCUAUUUGUUGUAUGUUAAUGAUUCUUUUUCCUGAAUGGGUAUCUGUUCUAUCUGUUUGUGUUUCUUUUUUCCCCUUCUUGAUGACAUGAUGCAAAAAUAUGUUGGUUCUGGAAAUGGGGGAGAUAUUUAUGCUGAGGGGUUUGAAGUGUCAGCUUAUGUCAUGUACUUCAAGAUUGGUAUUUGUAUAUGGACACAAACAUUGCAGCUAUCAUCUUUGUUUACAACAGACUUUGCUAUGUACACACAUGAUAUGCGAUUGGUAGAGAGUUGAUGUAGGCGGACAGCCUGGCUUUUAGAACAUGAUGGGGUGAUCACUGUGCUUGAAGGAUACUUACGUUAUACAAUCUCAGGAAGUGGAAUGAAAUAUAGUUGAUUGGUGUUGUAUUUGUAAGGCUAGUUAUUAAGUAGUAGCCACCUUGUUCUUCUUUGCUUGAUCAACUGGGAACAUUUGUCUCUCGUCUUUUCGUCAUUUUGGAUUACAUCAGUUAACCCUAUGAAAGUUGAGGAGACACUGGCAUAUUGGAAACGGCAUUCUGGUAACCAAGAGUAGAGCACGCUUUAGAAUUCUGAUCUGUUGUGCCUAAUGUGGUGAUCGUAGAGAGAAAGGAAUGCUAAGACCUUUGGAGGGCACCAAGCUCCCCUAAUUAAGUUGAGGCUUCUGUCACUUAGAUCACUUUAUGAGUGGGUGGUGGUGGCAACUUUUUUUCUGUCUCCUCUAUAAAUGGGUUUUCGGAGACCUAUUUGUCUACCAUCUGUGUACUAAAUUGUGUCCCUUUCUGCAGUUUUUUAGUAAAUUCCCUCAAGAGAAAGAUUCUGCAUUUUAUCUGUUAGCUAAUCAGGAGCCAAAUUUCAGUAAGAUGCAGUUUUUAUGAUGCCAAUCUGCAUCAUUUAAGAAAUUCCUUAGUCAAGGUAUUAUUCUAGAUUGAUUAGACUUCUAAUAGAUCUUCUAAUGUUCUUACCAUGAAGCACCCAAUCAACUAAUUUGCAUAUUGGUGCCACCUAUUAGUCACACAGGAUUUGUUAUGUAAACCACUUCAUUUGACAGGACCUUAACAUCUCUUCUCUGCAUUGUUAAUAUGCCAACUCUGUUCUCUUGGAAAAUGUAACUUUUAAGUCAGAAAACUUUUAAAGAUUAAAAUACUCCAUGAAGGGAGCCUUGUUCUUAGUUGGGUAAAAUACUCCACUAACUUUUGCAUAGCUCCAUCAAUUACGGGGAUACGAAAAAUCUCUCUAGGCGUAGAAAAGGCAAGGGAAAGGCAAGGCACAUAUGUUAAGGCUUGUUGUGCCUUGGCAUGUAGUGGGUAGUCAAUAUGUGUUUUGUUUAUUGUUCAGAGUAUCAACCUAUCUUAGCCCCCAACCAAUUUCUUACAUAACCGAUUCUUUCCCUGAAUAGGUUGCUAGUGUUCGGUCCUGAUCCAAGAUGAGGAACCAAACCAAGUCUUGAAAGUCUUCCUCAAGUGAGUACUGGUCCACCUAUCCAGUAUGUGAGGAAGUUUCUCCCAUGGAGCUAGCUUUUGUAUGUUACUAAGCCGGAUCGCCAAUACUAGGUUCUUUUUCCACGCUAUGUGACUAGCCGACGAUGAUGGGACUAGUAGACGCAGCAGACUGAACUUGUCUCAUGAAAUGGUUCUUCUCGACAAUCCAUUUAUUGUAGGUUAGAUUCAGACUGAGCAGACUCUAGCUCUUGCGUCUGCAUGAUCUGACUUCUAUGACUUGUAGUAUAAAAUAAAUAUAAAAAUACAUUUAUUUUGCUUCCCCUUACCUCCCGCCUGUGGGUCUCUCUAGUAGUUAGAUCGAGUAUUCGAGUCUGUGAAGACCUAAAGGCAUAGGCUGAGGCUACGGACACAGAGACAAAGGCAGCAUCCUCACUAGCACCAUCAUUUUGCAUCAAAAAGCCAGCACAUUAAGCUAAUGGUGGUAGCAUAGCUUGUUCCAGCACAGGUAGGUUAGGUAAAGAGCGCCCUCAGGCAAUUAGAGUAGGUAACCACCGCCUCUUAUUAGGUAGGUACCUGCAAAGGCAAAAGUAAAGGGUUCCAAUCCUGGUUGAACAAAAAGAUGCCAAUCCUUGAGAACAAGAAGACAGGAACACCUGACUAAGAGGGGGAAGGGACAACAAAGAGGGUGAGCCUCAUUCCCAGAAUUUGAUGUGAACUAGCUCAUGAGAACGCUUGGUUCUGGGUUUUCACCGAUUCUUUCCAAUGUUCUUAGUUGGGUCCUUUUGUAGUUUGUUUUUGAUUUUUUCGUUUUUUGGGGCUUUGGUGUUAUGGGUUUUUGCGGGUUAGCUUUGGUUGUUCUUGUGUAUACUUCUUGUGUACUUAGGGGCAUCUUAUGCUUUCUUUAAUAAAGUCUUCUUACUUAUCAAAAAAAGAAAAAGAAAAAGGGAGCCAUAUAUUUUAGUGGCGCAUAGGUUCAUCUGUUCUAAUGUCAUAUGCUGUGUAUUAUACCAUUCGGGAAAAAAAAGAUGCUGUCUUUAGAAAGUUGUACUUGAUGGCAGCAAUUAAUGAAGUGAGAUUUUAUUGAUGCUUGUAAUAUAAAUUCAUAGGGAUGAUUUUAUUAAAGAAGGGUCAAAUUUGCAUAUUUAUAAUUAUCCAGGCCUUAAUAUUUUAAGUAACAGUCCAACUAAUUGGGGUUGACUACAUGGAUCCUUUUUCUCCCUUCAGCUUUAUGAUCUAGAGUCAUGUCCUAAUUUACCUCUCUUGCAACCAUGUCUUGCCCCCCCGAACCCCACGCUAAAGUUCAUGACCUUGUUGGUCAACACUCAAGAUGUAUCAUUUGAUAGAAUUUGUAUGUGCUGUUUUUGGACUUGCCUGAUACAUCGCAGAAAAUUGAUGUAUGAGAGAAUGCUUUGGAUGCUGUUGCAAAAUGAUUUGUGAAGCCAACGAAGAACAGUGCAAGGAUUUGAGGUUUUAAUCAAAAAAUAAUUGGCAUAAGUGAAGUUUCUAAUCUGCUUAAAUAACUAGGCAGAAAAUGGACUAUGUGAAAUGCUAAAUGAAUUCUGAACAUUAGGGAGAAGCAGUUGCUGCAGCUAUGUAGCUGUUGAAUUGAAGCUCGACAAACGAGUGAAAGAAAUUUAGAGCUUGGAAUGAAAAGAAUGAAAAAAGAGGGGAAAAAAAAGGGAAAAAGGAAGAAGCCAAAAAAACUAGAGGAUGGAUAGAAGAGGCAAGUCUUUCCUUACUAUCAUUUAUUUCUCUGAUUGUUUUGCUGAUGCGUGUUUUCCCAGAACCCAGGUUCUCAGUGUACAUUGUCAUUAUUGGUAAAACAUCCAACAUUAAUUGAAGUUUCAAUCAAUAUUUAAUCGAUGGAUCAUGAUUUAUGAGCUUAGAAAACCUUAACUAUUUUGGCUUACUUGCUAUGCCUGUGAUUGCACUUUGAAUUCUUUUCUGCAAUUCUAAUGUUAAAAAUAUUAUGUACAUGCAUUUGAUUAUCUGAAUCACCCCCACGAUCAAUAGACAUGUUGCCGAAUCAUCAGUUUUUGAAAUCUUAACUGAUCUUCUUUGAAUGAAAUUCUACAUAUAAGAUCAUCAGUACAACAUAGAUAAACAUUCUUGCUUGCAAAUAUUGAAAUUUUGACACUUUCUCCAGCAUCUGUUUCCUGAGUCAUGAGAGUUAAGAAGUUUCAAACUGUAUCAGCCCUGCACCCUUGAUUUAUCAUUUCAUUCUCUCAAUUCUCCGGAUGCAAUACUUCAGCUCCUGUUGAAUGUUCACCCUAGAAGGUGACAAUACGAUGUCUUUCCAAACUGACCCAGCUUUGGAAGCUGGGUUAGGGUGCUUGUAGAGUUCAUAUAUGGACUUUGCAUUUUCAUUCAACCUACCUAACCUUUUUAAACAAUCAAUUUCAUCUGGAUCAACCAGCAAUGUCUUGUCUCUGUCUUUCCAUCCUAUCAACUUCACAGCAAUUAUGACGUCAGUAUGAUAUGCUGAAUAUAACAAAUUGCUAUAGUAACUUUCUGUUGACAGGCAUAGUCCUGAAUGUCAUGGCCUCCAUACAAAGACCAAAUCCCAUAUAAGAAAGUAUAAGAUUGCAUAAACAUGUAACUCAGCUGAGCUUUUACCAAGUAAAACAACCCUAAAUUAUUGAGCCUUGGUUGGUUAAAUGAAAUUCUGCAGGUUCUUUAUAUAGGCGUGUGUUUAAAUCCAAGUUCUUCUUGUUAAACUCUGAAGUAAGCUUCUUAUUGCUACAAUAUAAAAGAGGAGAUAUAAUGGGUGUACCUUAGGUUGGCCUUCCAAAGCAUUGGUGCAAUAUAGCCUGGCAUUGUCAACCAGUUGACAGUAAGCUAGAAAUGCAUUUGCAAAUUGCUUGCUGGAUUUUAAUUGUGAAUUCACUCUUACAGCUCUUCUACACAUGAUAGCUCUCCUGUUUACAUGCAGAAAACCCACUUUGAUGCAUCAGAUACCUCAAGAGAAAACCAACAUUGUAUGAAAAAAUUACAAUUAGAUAAUGUAAGACCACCAAAACAAAUGUAAUAAUCUGUAAUAUACCGUAUGCCUCUUAUAACAGCUAGAUAAGCAUCACAUACAACUCCAACAAGCUCUAUCCUGUAUGGUUUUCUCUUUUUGCCUCCAACUUGCUCUGGUUCUUCGUUUUCAAUUCGUUCCCAGUAGAUUUCGUUUACAGUUCCAUCUCCAUUCACCCUGUAACCAGCACCCAUACGAUAACGGCGGCGGUGAACAUUUCUGGCCAUUGUUAUUGUCUGCACAACAAAUGGUUGCCAAGAAAGGGUGCCAUCCAUGAUCACAUCCCGCCCUUCAUUAAGUGCUGUCACCAGGAGGGAUGAUGCUGCAUCGGUAGAUGAUUGGUGCACCUGUUUGAAACAAUAUUUGUUGGGUCAUAUUAUGAAACUCAUGCUAGGAUAUACUAUGAUAAUGCAUAUUGAUGUUAUGAGAAGCAUUUGAAUCAUUAUGAAAUUGUUAAUGCAUCUGUUAUAGGUAUUUUGUUUGUUUGGUUUUACAUCUGAAGUGGCACUAGAAUGGUUAAGAGCGAGGAAAAGGCACAAAGUAAGGAAGCUGACAAUGCUGGUUCUUGGCUUAGUUGGGAAAAGGGUGGGAUGAGCUCUGGGUAGAUCUUAUAUUCAAGACUUGACAAUCAAAAGUGAAAGAAUCUGACUGGUGAUGUAUGUGGUGCGGAAGGAAGAUCAAAGAAGAACCUUUAAGUUCUAUAUAUAGAAUCACCCAUUUAAAGAUACGCGCAGUGUUUUGGGUUAUUGGUCAAAGAGUGAUGGAAGAGUAACCGACAGUGGAAUUGAAGAGGCAACUUCUUAUCAUGGGCAGCAAAGUACCUUGACCAGAUUCUCUGUCAGAAAACAUGGAGUACUUCUGCAUAUAUAAGAUUGGGGAAGAGGGUGGGCACAGAGAGAGAGAGAGAGAGAGUCAGUCUUAUAUCUCACCAGUUCAGCAGUUUGUAGCAUGUCGACAUGUCCAUGACCUCUGGAGCUAAGGGCCCUAUAGAUGACGUCUGAUUCUUUGAAGGCAUCUGCCUCAAUUAUGACUGCAUUCCCUGCUGCUCCUGCCCAGAAUGGCCUGUUCACAUUCAUUCACCAACAGUCAAGGAUUUCAGACUAAUCUAAUGGUUAGGACUAUGAAAUGGACGAUAAUAAUAUUGUUCAUACUCUUUCAGAAUGUCCUGAAGCACAGUGCUCUUCCCAGCUCCCAUCCCACCACCCAUGAGGAGGAGGACUGGA